UAAACUCUCAACCCUAAACUGUAAAUACUAAUCCCUGAACACUAAACCCUAAUCCAUAAAAAGUAAAUUCUAAACCCUAAAUCCUAAACACUAAACACUAAACUCUAAACCCUACACACCAAACUCUACACCCUAAACACGAAAUCCUAAACUCCAAUCCCUAAAUUCUAAACCCUAAACCCUAAACUCUAAACCUUGAACACGAAACCCAAAACAGUUAACUCUAACAUUAGAACCCGAAACUGUAAACCCUAAACCCUAAACUCUAGAACCUUAAAACUCUAAACUCUAAACACUAA
Molecule: long non-coding RNA, 299 nt
Filed under: Linum usitatissimum (flax)
Lineage: Eukaryota; Viridiplantae; Streptophyta; Magnoliopsida; Malpighiales; Linaceae
Description: long non-coding RNA (LUSI_LNC004021)
Source: RNAcentral